RNAcentral lists this long non-coding RNA (210 nucleotides) under Elaeis guineensis (African oil palm). RNAcentral's name for it is "long non-coding RNA (EGUI_LNC014834)". The record is from RNAcentral. Lineage: Eukaryota; Viridiplantae; Streptophyta; Magnoliopsida; Arecales; Arecaceae.
CCGACCUCUUCUACUCAGACCAGAUCAUCCAGUUGUGGCUGAGGUAGACGUGGUCAUGAUUCUACUUCAGAGUCAUUCCCUUAUUUUGUUCCUUCUGAUCACGAGCCUGAUGCCCAGUCUCUUUGAUCAUGAUUAUGCUGUUUGUAUUAGCUACUAUAGGUCUCACACUACUUGGUUAUUGUAUUUUGUUAAGUGUAUGAGAACCUUAUG